UAAUCAGCGAGCCUACCUGCAGUGAAGUAAUACAAUCAUUUUUCUCCAGUAAGCUGAUUUCUUAACUGUCUUGUAAAUGAGAAAUAUGUUUCAGUAAUCAGGGAGGAGGAUCGGGUGAAUCUACUUAUCUCAGGUAGAUUUCUAGAGAGUGCAGAUUUCUUUGCCACGUGUGUGUGUAACCGACUAUGCAUGGGCAUGACAAAAGACUGCACACAAGCAAAAUAACAGUAGAGCAGCCAUAUGUGAGGGCCAAUUAUUAGAGCAAAAAUGAAUCCAUCCAAAGUCUGACUGAGCUGAAAGUAAUGCACUAUUCUGUCUGGAAGCCUAAAUAAGUCAGCUCCACUGGUGAACAUUUGACUGUAAAACACACUUUUGUGUUCAUGUGGACAAGCUCCACUCUGUCAGUCUGUUGUAUUCCUCUCACUGUGCUGUCAGUCUGCUCCAGUGUAGACACACACCAAAAAGGGAGUGUUGCAGCAUCCUGUAUCACUAGUACAGCUAAAAUCAGUAAGCUGUGCUCUCAAAAUGAAAUGCAUCACUUUUAUGAUGCAUUUCAUUUGUAACUUUGUCUUAAGGUAUGUACAGUAAAACUACAUUUUCUUAAGCACAUGAGGGAAUGCUACAGUUUUCCUGGUCUUUCUCCUGCUAAUAUAGAUGGGACAGGGUGCUACGUAAAGUCACUACAAUCACUAUAGCCAUAAGUAUUUAAAAUAUCUGUGUCAUAAAUAGGUUGCAAACAUGUUUUCAAUAUAUGCUUGUAAAACACAAAAAAUGUCGGCAAAACAGCUUGAAGCAGUAAUUGGAAAUUUCAGUUUGGGAACAGACUGAAUAAAGGGGCUGCACUUCUGAAAUAUUUACAGCAAAUCUGAACUGGGACAGAAAAGUGACACAGCCACAUCUACUGGACACAAGUGGUUAUUGAAAUAAGCCUUUGUCACUACAGACAUUUUGACAUGUCAUAGCAGGAAAAGCACAGGUCUUAACAUUAAAAAACUGCUCGGUUCUAUUUAAGUGUCUCAAUAAGUCAUGACAGUGCAACAGUUUGUCUGUAUGCACAAUAACAGGACUCUGAAACUUAAGCACAAAAGGACUUUAUCUGACCUUCAUUUUAUUACUAACACCUGUGCUUUCUUAACGCGGCAUGUCCGAGUGUCUUCCAUGAAAACAGCCUAAGUUUCACUCUGCAAAUGUGCAUUUUUGGAGCUGGUUUGAAGCAAUGAUAUUUAAGGAUACAGUCCACUAAGAAAUCAAAUAGCUUAACUUGGCAGGAGAUUUCAGCAUUAUGGAAUGAAAUGAGUGCUCCAAUUUAGCACUGCACUCAUAUAGUGAAAAAUCAUUGUUUUUAUUUGAUAGAUUUUUCUUCCUUGUCAAAUCCUGGAGUCUACAUUAUCCACAAUGCAACUCUGCCACCAACAGUUAGAGCUAGAGAUUCUGGCGUGUCAUGCUAGUAAUGGCUAAUGUAGUGUGUAUACGUAUACAUAUAGUCACCAACAUUUGCAUUGCUAACAAACAGACUGAUGUGUUCAAUCAGCAGAGUUCCCUUUAACCAUGUUUCCUUCCUAAAAAAAUAGAAAAACUCCUGAAAGUUAACUUUGGUAUUCAUCUUUGUACGUGUAUAGGAAUGGUUCAGUUGAUAUUCUUGGUUGAGCCAUACAAUGAUGCAGACUUCACCUAAAGACAAAACAAAUCCAAGAUUUCAGAGAUGUUUUAACCCUAAAGUGACAUCAGCACGUCUCUGUCAGUAUGUUUUGUGACUGCAAACGUCUCCUGUUUCUAACAAUAAAACUCUGCAGGUAUGUCAUGAAAAUCUCCUUAGUUGGCAAUGCACUCACAAAGUUAAAGUUCACACAACACAGCAAGCAGGUUAAAACAGAGCACCAGGAAGGAAGGCCUUUGCCCCAAAAGAGCACUUACAAAACACAGUGACACAUAUACAAAGUAGCAGCUCUGUAGCAGUACAAUACAGUAAAGCAUUGCUUAAUAUUCAUUUCUUUGAAUAAUUUAACUAUUAGGGAGAGUUUUGUGUAGUUGUAUUGUUUCACAUGUCAUUUUGAAUCUGAUAAUUUUGCAUAUCAAUUGGUAGUUAGCUCUAAUUAAAACCACUUUCUGUUCACAUUUAGAGUUACAACUCUAUCAGCUCCUUCUUGAAGUAUUGUACACAGAGUCCAGUGUUGUUUCCCUCUAAAAUGUUUACUGUUAAAGGAUUAUCUUUGUUUCCCUGUAAUUGUCUGUGUAGGUGUUUUUUUUUAUUUGUCAUUGAAUGUCAAGCUUUUUGUCCUCAUCAUUAUAUUCAUGAGCCAUCACUGGGGCAAACAGCCCUAUAAUUAAUUAUUUAAAUAACAAUGUUAAGCAAAUUUUGCUUUUAAUUUGCUAAUCAAAAUCUUUGCCUGGAAAAAGAACUGGAGAAUGUAAGCUUUUGUUCUUCUUGCUUUUUUGUCAGAUUUUUUGUUUGUUUGUUCCCAGUAAAGGAUUCUAUGGUGAUUUAGCUCACGUGGUAAUGGGUUUUGUUUUAAUGAAUACUUCAUGAAAGCUUUAGCUUCUAUGAUCCAAGAUUCUGAUGCCAUUUCUAAUCCAAGGUUGGAUCUUAUGACAGGACACCCCCUCAUGAAUGGGAUGGACAAAAUAGAAAUACUUCUUCAUGUAAUUCUAAACAAUUCAACAGCAAGGCAAACUUGAGCCUCAACACCUCUCUAAAACAGUUAUAGCAUUAGUUUUAGAAAUGUGUUCCUAACAAGAUGCUAACUUGAGUGUAUAUACUGUAUAUAUAUACACAGUGGCCUCAGAAAGUAUUCAGUCAAAACAUGUUUAUAGAAGAUUUUCACAGUUUUAUUUCAAAUGCUUGUGUGUUCAGCCAGAGGAAGUAAAGGAGUCAGAUGAACUGGUGAUAAUCUAAUAUUUGUUUUCUGACUGUGACUCAGCUGCUCUUUACUAUUAUUGCCAAGUGUGAACGCCCCUCCUAGUCAGUGUUGGUUAAGUAGAUAUUUCUCACUACCUGUUAGUAGACAGAGGUUUCAGUUGUUUUUUUCUCCUCCCUCUUAUUUCUCUUCCUCCUCAUACCUGCCUGUCAUCAGUCGACGCUGGGAAUGGUAGGAAUAACAUCAACAUACUCUUCACUGCGUCUGUCACUGGAAUAUCGCUGGAUACAGUAUAGUUAAGAUCUCGCUGUGGAAGAUUAUCAGGAUGAAUCGCUCGUGUGUAAACUGUUGGAAGACUAUGAUGAUAAAUCUCAACUUUCUCUGCUGGCUGUGUGGUGCAUUUGUGGUGGCUUUCGGAGAAUUCCAGAUGAUGCACUCCAAGUUUGCCUCCCUCGUCACCACCUUCUGGCCCAUCUACCCCGCCAACACUCUGGUGGUCACUGGCACCAUUGUCACCUGUGUGUGUUAUGUGGGAGUGUUAGGAGGCUUGAAGGAGAACCGUUGCAUGCUUAUCACUUUUUUCGUCCUGCUGUUCAUUCUGAUGCUGGUGGAGCUGGCCAUGGCCUGUGUGUUUCUGGUCUAUAGUAGAGAGAUUGACACAUACUUUGAGAAGGACUUGAUGAGAAGCUUGGAGAUCUACAGACAAUCCAGUCCAGAAGGCAACAAGACCAUUAAAGAUGACUUUGAUGCUGUUCAGCACCUGUUUAGGUGCUGCGGAGUUCAUGGUGAAGCUGACUGGAAGGGCAACAUCCCAAUCUCCUGUUGUGUCAAAGAUCCCUGCAACACUCUCAUCCACAACAACUGGCAAGAGGGUUGUCUCCUUAAACUGAGGACCUGGUUUGCCAGAAACUAUCUCAGCACAGGCGCAGGCGUUGUUACAAUGUUUAUCAUACAGCCAGGAGAUUGGUCCUGCCCUCCUCCCACUGGUGUCAAGACCUCACCCGGUCUUCCUGGACCUGGGUCAGCUUUUCCAUCAGCUGGUGGUUUCUUCUUUUUUCUCAGCCAGGAGAUGGGUCUCGUCCUCGUACCACUGGCAUUGAGACUUUUCCUUGUUCUUUUUAGCCUGGACCAGUGCAUUUUUAAGUUCAGACAUUUCCUCAUCCCUCCUGGCGAGGUGUGUCAUGGUCUUUAUCAGCUGAUGAGAUACAAGUUUCUUCUUCAAAUUAACAUAAAAUUACAUUAUCACUACAAUAUAAGUACUUGUCCUUCACAGUUCAUGACAAUGGAAAAUGGUGAAAGGAGUGGGAGGCUAACAUUUCCCUAAUGUUACCCUUGGGAAAAUACAACACAGUGAAUGUGCUAUUGUGAAAAUGUGUUUGAUAAUAAUGAUGAUGAUUAUUUGAAAGCAUCUCCUGAUGCUGCUUGGCUGCUUGUGGCUGGAUUGAAGAUUUAUCACCCUGGCAUAGUGAGGAAAUCCCUGUUAACAACAUCCUCUUGUGGUGUGAUGUUAAGCCUGAUUGAUGUCUCUGCUGAUUUCUCCUGAGAUGUUUUCACAAUAACCCCACCCCCACCCCCCCACCCCCACCCAGCUUGUUGUACUCCUCACUUAAUCUUGCAAAACAGCUGUGACAGGGAGAGUUUUAUUCUGAAGAUGAAUAACACCUGUAAAGACAGAAUGACUGAAGAAGAAUUGUUUGACACCUUCAAAAAGGACCAUUAAAAGUUUCAUUAUACAGAACAGUGAGACAUUGUACUGCCAUGUUUACAGAUUGCUUUUAUAAAGGGUUUGUUUGACUUGACGUGGUGAAUGAAUGAAUACAGGCAAAACUGCAUCUGGAAGUGAACUUUGUGGAACAACAGCAGGAAAUUCUGAAGCAGUCUCAGGAUCUGAUGGAUGCUACUGAGGAGAGGGUCCACAAUGUCUACUUCAUGAUGAGCUACGCGCCCUGGAGACACUCCCCAUUUGAGUGAUGAAGAUGAGUGCUCUCUAUUCCACAGUGAGAUCAAAUGCUGCAGCAUUAGACUGAUUGAAUUCCAGCACAACAAGAAGUCUUCGAGAAGAGCCAGGAGACCACAAAGUGGGUAUAAUAAGGCUAAUGAAAUAAACAGGGAGAGAGUAGGAUUUUUUAGCUCGUGCUGACUGCUUGCCUGAUUGAUACUGAUCAGUUGGCUUUAUGACAUGUAGGAGAUUAGUCUGAGUAGUGAGUGAAUGCCCCAUCCGCGGUGUACUAAAUCUACAACCCACUUUAACUAAUGGACAAUGGACAAAUGAUGAGUGAUUUUAUCAAAAUCCCAAACACUGGAAUUCAUGUCCAGUGUUGGAAAGCAACAUUUAUUCCAGUUCUGUGCUAGCAUAUAAUUUUGAGUUACUUGUGUUUUACUUUUGUGUUUUCGUUUAGGCAACUUUAUUCUUCUAUUCCUCUAUAUUUUAGAGGCAAAUAUUGUACUUUGAUAUUUUUCUGCAGAAUGAGUGCUUUUACCUUGAUACUUUACAUAUAUUUUGCUAAAAUUACCUCUGUUAAUACUUUGUGGUAUGAACUUGCCUAAAACUGCAGAGCAUGAAUAAUACCAGUUGGUGGGAGCAUUGUUGCACCCAUUCUAAGAAAACGGCAGCACAUGUCAGCCUGGUGGAAGUGAGUCAGGUAUAGAGCAAUCCUGUGUCACUGAAAAUUGGCAUAUCAUAUGCUUAACACUAACAAGGUUGAAUAAUUGAUUAAGCAUUACCACAUUUUACAAUUGCUUUGUAAAAUGCCAUAGCCUGUAGUUUAAUGUCUCAGUGUUUCUGAAAUUAAAUAAAGUUAAUGUAAUUUUUUUGACUCAUUCAGCAGCAGGACACAGUCAUGACAUUCUUUCUACAAUGGGAAUCAAAUAUUGUUCAGGCAGUUUGUCCCAAGAGUGUCAUAGAUUCAUUCAUAUGUAGUUUUAUUUUAUUAAGAUAGAUUAUGUCUUGACCCUCAGGUCUUCAAGAUCAACAACAGUAAGGCACAUGCACUGGUAUAUAGGUCACAACCUCAUAACACAUCUGAUGGUGAUUAGACAAUUAAGUUACACCAUGUGGGUUUGGAAAAACAAUCAAAAGGGCUCCAGUGAAUCAAAACUCUUGAAACAAAGACUGAUCAAACAAAGGUUUAUGGUAAAGUGUAUUAAAAAAUGUUAGAGUUAUGUUAAUUCAGAUAGAUGAUUUACAGAAAAAG
RNA transcript from Lates calcarifer (barramundi perch), 6049 nucleotides. It is a transcript of the gene named leukocyte surface antigen CD53, with no coding region annotated. The transcript has 9 exons. The record is from RefSeq and is a predicted model, not a curated record. NCBI's taxonomy places the organism in Eukaryota, Metazoa, Chordata, Actinopteri, Centropomidae.